RNAcentral lists this ribosomal RNA (431 nucleotides) under Chaetomium globosum. Its description in RNAcentral is "eukaryotic LSU rRNA". The stretch from base 58 to 210 matches the Rfam family "5.8S ribosomal RNA". Lineage: Eukaryota; Fungi; Ascomycota; Sordariomycetes; Sordariales; Chaetomiaceae. The record is from RNAcentral.
UCACCAAACUCUUGUUAAUUUAUGGCCUCUCUGAGUCUUCUGUACUGAAUAAGUCAAAACUUUCAACAACGGAUCUCUUGGUUCUGGCAUCGAUGAAGAACGCAGCGAAAUGCGAUAAGUAAUGUGAAUUGCAGAAUUCAGUGAAUCAUCGAAUCUUUGAACGCACAUUGCGCCCGCCAGUAUUCUGGCGGCAUGCCUGUUCGAGCGUCAUUUCAACCAUCAAGCCCCCGGGCUUGUGUUGGGGACCUGCGGCUGCCGCAGCCCCUGAAAAGCAGUGGCGGGCUCGCUGUCACACCGAGCGUAGUAGCAUACAUCUCGCUCUGGGCGUGCUGCGGUCCCGGCCGUUAACCACCUUUUAACCCAGGUUGACCUCGGAUCAGGUAGGAAGACCCGCUGAACUUAGCAUAUCAUAGGCCGAGAAAGAUCCGCGG